RNAcentral lists this ribosomal RNA (515 nucleotides) under uncultured bacterium. Its description in RNAcentral is "partial 16S ribosomal RNA". It matches the Rfam family "Bacterial small subunit ribosomal RNA", at positions 28 to 523 of the family's 1533-position model. The record is from RNAcentral.
GAUGAACGCUGGCGGCGUGCCUAAUACAUGCAAGUCGAGCGAAUGGAUUAAGAGCUUGCUCUUAUGAAGUUAGCGGCGGACGGGUGAGUAACACGUGGGUAACCUGCCCAUAAGACUGGGAUAACUCCGGGAAACCGGGGCUAAUACCGGAUAACAUUUUGAACCGCAUGGUUCGAAAUUGAAAGGCGGCUUCGGCUGUCACUUAUGGAUGGACCCGCGUCGCAUUAGCUAGUUGGUGGGGUAACGGCUCACCAAGGCAACGAUGCGUAGCCGACCUGAGGGGGUGAUCGGCCACACUGGGACUGAGACACGGCCCAGACUCCUACGGGAGGCAGCAGUAGGGAAUCUUCCGCAAUGGACGAAAGUCUGACGGAGCAACGCCGCGUGAGUGAUGAAGGCUUUCGGGUCGUAAAACUCUGUUGUUAGGGAAGGACAAGUGCUAGUUGAAUAAGCUGGCACCUUGACGGUACCUAACCAGAAAGCCACGGCUAACUACGUGCCAGCAGCCGCGGUAA